RNAcentral lists this signal recognition particle RNA (298 nucleotides) under Angiostrongylus costaricensis. RNAcentral's name for it is "Metazoan signal recognition particle RNA". It matches the Rfam family "Metazoan signal recognition particle RNA". Rfam says of the family: The signal recognition particle (SRP) is a universally conserved ribonucleoprotein. It is involved in the co-translational targeting of proteins to membranes. The eukaryotic SRP consists of a 300-nucleotide 7S RNA and six proteins: SRPs 72, 68, 54, 19, 14, and 9. The record is from Rfam by way of RNAcentral. Lineage: Eukaryota; Metazoa; Nematoda; Chromadorea; Rhabditida; Metastrongylidae.
GUUGGCGUCGGGGCGGACGCGUGUGAGCCAGCUUCUAGGCAGUAGUUCAGUAUAGAUGAAGUGAGGGGAGGAGUCUCACGGUGGCCGCGGAUUGCGGCGGCGGAGCAUCCGUGACGAGCUUCGCUGCACUAGGUGUGCAUGGCCGGAGCGGUGCGUGUCCCUGGCGGCCAAGGAGGGGUGCACGGCACAGGCUCCGCAAAGGAGCAGGCAAAGCCCCCCAGGCGACGCAGUGCCGGGGUGGCGCCCGUGAGCACCUGCACCGUUGUGGGCUCUCCGACACCUUCAAACCGCUGGUCGU